GAUGAACGCUGGCGGCGUGCUUAACACAUGCAAGUCGAGCGAAGCAGUUAAGUUGAUUUCUUCGGAUUGAUUCUUAACUGACUGAGCGGCGGACGGGUGAGUAACGCGUGGGUGACCUGCCCCAUACCGGGGGAUAACAGCUGGAAACGGCUGCUAAUACCGCAUAAGCGCACAGAGCUGCAUGGCUCAGUGUGAAAAACUCCGGUGGUAUGGGAUGGGCCCGCGUCUGAUUAGGCAGUUGGCGGGGUAACGGCCCACCAAACCGACGAUCAGUAGCCGGCCUGAGAGGGCGACCGGCCACAUUGGGACUGAGACACGGCCCAAACUCCUACGGGAGGCAGCAGUGGGGAAUAUUGCACAAUGGGGGAAACCCUGAUGCAGCGACGCCGCGUGAGCGAAGAAGUAUUUCGGUAUGUAAAGCUCUAUCAGCAGGGAAGAUAAUGACGGUACCUGACUAAGAAGCCCCGGC
This 469-nucleotide ribosomal RNA is filed under the name uncultured bacterium. Its description in RNAcentral is "bacterial SSU rRNA". It matches the Rfam family "Bacterial small subunit ribosomal RNA", at positions 28 to 497 of the family's 1533-position model. The record is from RNAcentral.